CCGUGUGUAGCGCAGCUUGGUCAGCGUAGGAGCUUUGGAUGCUUCGGGUCGUUGGUUCGAAUCCAACCACACGGA
RNAcentral lists this transfer RNA (75 nucleotides) under Pectobacterium bacteriophage PM2. It matches the Rfam family "tRNA". From Rfam's summary of the family: Transfer RNA (tRNA) molecules are approximately 80 nucleotides in length. Lineage: Duplodnaviria; Heunggongvirae; Uroviricota; Caudoviricetes; Pantevenvirales; Straboviridae. The record is from Rfam by way of RNAcentral.